AUGAAGAUUUGAUUCGAAAGGUUAGUAUGUCUUUUUGCUGUGUGGUUCACAAUUUUUCCUUGCAGGGUAUUGCUAUAAGUCAAAUAAAAGGUUAGAAGAGGAUGAAAACCUAAAUGGAAAGUGACAAGUAAUCGCUUCCUUACUGUAUAUGAUUCUUAAGAUGGUUUUAUAUUCUCAUAUAAGGUUAAAGGUUCAUGUAUUUUUUUCUCUUGGCUUGAUAAAUUGAAAGAACGUACUAGUGUUGCUUUUAAUUUUAGUUCGCUUGUGAUAAAUCAUAAAUCGUUAACAGUGUGACAUAGAGCUCAAAGAAUAUGAUCUCUUCAUUUAGUAUAAAUAAGAUGGAUUAAGCUAAUAUCACAUCAAAUGACUUUCAAAGGUUGUACUUAAAAUAUAAAGAGAGAGCGAGAAGAAGAGGGGUG
RNAcentral lists this unclassified non-coding RNA (419 nucleotides) under Hevea brasiliensis (rubber tree). Lineage: Eukaryota; Viridiplantae; Streptophyta; Magnoliopsida; Malpighiales; Euphorbiaceae. The record is from RNAcentral.